RNAcentral lists this ribosomal RNA (457 nucleotides) under uncultured bacterium. RNAcentral's name for it is "partial 16S ribosomal RNA". It matches the Rfam family "Bacterial small subunit ribosomal RNA", at positions 339 to 795 of the family's 1533-position model. The record is from RNAcentral.
CUACGGGGCGCACCAGUGAGGAAUAUUGCGCAAUGGACGAAAGUCUGACGCAGCCAUGCCGCGUGCAGGAUGACGGCGCUAUGCGUUGUAAACUGCUUUUAUAUGCCAAGAAACCUUCGGACGUGUCCGAAGCUGACGGUAGCAUAUGAAUAAGCACCGGCUAACUCCGUGCCAGCAGUCGCGGUAAUACGGAGGGUGCAAGCGUUAUCCGGAUUUAUUGGGUUUAAAGGGUCCGUAGGCGGAUCAUUAAGUCAGUGGUGAAAGCCGGCAGCUCAACUGUCGAACUGCCAUUGAUACUGGUGAUCUUGAAUACGGUUGAAGUUGGCGGAAUAGGUCAUGUAGCGGUGAAAUGCUUAGAUAUGACCUAGAACACCGAUUGCGAAGGCAGCCAACUAAGCCGUUAUUGACGCUGAGGGACGAAAGCGUGGGGAGCGAACAGGAUUAGAUACCGGUAGUC